RNAcentral lists this ribosomal RNA (238 nucleotides) under uncultured bacterium. RNAcentral describes it as "partial 16S ribosomal RNA". It matches the Rfam family "Bacterial small subunit ribosomal RNA", at positions 100 to 334 of the family's 1533-position model. The record is from RNAcentral.
CGGAACGGGUGAGUAACGCGUGAGGAACCUGCCUCAAAGAGGGGGACAACAGUUGGAAACGACUGCUAAUACCGCAUAAGCCCACGGCUCGGCAUCGAGCAGAGGGAAAAGGAGUGAUCCACUUUGAGAUGGCCUCGCGUCCGAUUAGCUAGUUGGUGAGGUAACGGCCCACCAAGGCGACGAUCGGUAGCCGGACUGAGAGGUUGAACGGCCACAUUGGGACUGAGACACGGCCUAG